UCAAACACAAGUAGUACCACAGAAGGGACCUUUCCUCUGUUGGCUAUACACAUUUCCUACAGAUUCUACAAAUCCUUUCCGUGUGCGUCGUUAAGUGAGGUUUAUGACUUACAACACCACAUCCUUUCUGGUGAAAGUACAACCGAGAGUCGAGCGUGAUCAGAGAGAGUAUAAUCUUCGGGCCAUAUUCCCUUCUCCGCCUCACGGGGAUAUAGAACUGCAUUCUUCACAUUGAAUCCCAGGGAGUCCUGCAUGCCUCGUUUGGACUCCUCUCUACUACCGUUGAGACUUUCCUUAUCCUCUGACGCUGUUGAACUCCAAAUUCUAUUCUGCAAUGCCAAGGGUUUUAGACACGUGAUUUUAAUCUUGUAGUACUUUGGAAGGACUAUUACAUGACGGCAAUGCUAAUGUAAUUCAAAAGGAAAAUAAAUGAAAUUAUUAUGGAUGUAAUGUACCUUAAAUUCUUCGUAAUCAAGAACACCAUUUGCAUCGGCGUCUGCCUGGAUCCAGAGAUCCCUUGUCUCCUGGAAACCUAGUCCCGCAGGAUGACCAAUUAAAUUAACCUGCAAUAUACCUACAUGAGCAAGUCUUAUCUUUCCAUUUGAACUUUAUACAGCUUAAUAGCUAAUAGAACCAACCUGUUGUAGUGCUUCACAGAAAGCUGAGGACGUAAUAAAAUCACCAUGACUAUCACCCUUCAGAAAGGCAAAUGCAUCAUUUUCAGCCAUCGAAGCUUUUCGAAGCUGGCGCUGAAAACCCCAAAAGGAAAAAGGAAGUUAAAUGAUUGCAUGUAGAAACUGUCUAGAGCUUGCAUGCCCUAUAAUAUAAAGGAUCCAAGCAUCUUUUCAAAAGUUUUGAACAAAGCUUUCUGUGCACAAUAUAUCUGAUGAACUACGAUUCUUGCCCUCUGUGGCAAGGUAUCAGAUAGUAGGUAGAGAAAAUGUGAACGGAUGAGUAUUAAUGACAAUAAUAUAGAAUAUGUAAACCGAAUUGCUUACCCGUAAUAUUCAAAAACAGCUUCGCACCAACUAGUCUUUAGUGGUUUUCGUGACUUAUUGACGGCAACGAAAUGCAGCUGCCGCUGUAGCUUCUUGAAAGACUCUCACUUUCUCUGCGAUUAAUCUUUGCCACAUUAGAACCCGCACUUAAACCCUGCAACGACUCAAAAUUUUCAGUAUCCAUUAUCCAAUAAACGAUUUCCUAAGUACCCAUUUUCUCAGAAACCAAAUUCAUGGAAGAAAAGCAGAAGCAAUUGAGAGAAAGAAGAAAGAGACACUAUUUGUUAUAAGUUGAAAUUUUUCGUUGCAGAAAAAUAUAUACCCCACCGGGUGGCCGGGAACUCAUGACACUUACGUUGGGGGGCUUGUGCAUCACAUUUAAUGUGACAAAAAUGUAAAUAUUCAUAUGCUUAUAAAUAUCUUGGCCCACAAAUUGAGGCGUAAUCUUUUUAAGUAUCAAUUUUGAAUGGUAAUGCAGGUCUCCUUCAAACCAUUUUUGACCAAGCAAAAUUUUUGAGGCUGGUUGUGUGGGCUUUAAAGUUACGUAAUACAACCUUUGAACUAGGCUUGUAAACGGGUUGAGUUUAUCAGGUUUGGGUCGAGUUCAAUCUGACCCGUUAAGUUAACAGGUCAUCCAAACUCGACCCAUUAAGCUAAUGGAUCACCCGUUAACAAUUAUUAUUAUUAUUAUUUUACAUAGAGUUUAUUUUUUGUUGUUAAGAUUUUACUGAAAUUAUUAAAAUAUCCUCAACUAACGGGUUGACCCAAAGUGAUCCGUUAGUUAACGGGUUCACCUGUUAGCAACCCGACCCGUCAAGCAUCCACCCAAAUACUAAUAUUAACGGGUCGGGUACAAAAUGCCAGGUCUGCUGUGAACAAGACCCAUACAUUUUGCAUAUUCCGUUUAAAUAUUACGUAACACAACUUUAGAACAACAUUGGGGUGGUGGCGCAGUUGGCUUGCGCGUAGGUCUCAUAGCUUCUGGUGAUCCUGAGGGCGAGAGUUCAAGCCUUUCUCACCCCCAUUUCUUUUUAUCUUUUGCCAUUAUAGGAAAACAAAAACAUUUUAAAUUUCAACUUCUAACAACACGAACAUAGUCUAGUAUUAUUUAUCUUUCAUAAUUUUAAAUGAUAUCUCAAAAGUUCGAAUUUCCAUAUGAUUUUUUUAACAUCUCAACUUCUAACUUCUAACACUAUCAUGGUCUAACAGUAUUUAUCUUUUACAUUUUAAGAAAAUAUCUCAAGAGUUCGAAUCCCCGCUCCCCAAAUGAUUAAACAAAAAAAAAAUAUAUACCGUACUGAGAUUCCAGUACCAGCCAUAAAUCAUUACAUCUGAUCCGUAGAAACAGAAACAUGUCAAACUCCAUAGGCUAUGCCAAAUGUAAACAUUUCAUCACUGCAGAACAUGGCUGGUACUCCCACAUUUUAUAGCAAUAAGCAACCACUAAGUCUGGCAUUACUUUUUGUGUGACGCUCAUCUAGCACCACUGCCCGUAUAAACCUUCUUCCCAAGCAAAAACAAAGAACAAUAUCGCACCUAGAAGUAGAACCGUGUUGAAAAGGUAUACUGAUGGGGGACCUGUUAAUGGGGGGGAAGUUUCCCCGGAAAUGCAAGAACAGCUCAUCCAAUUGCCGGCGGUGGUUGCAUUGUGUGUCUGCUUCAAACCCUUUUCUGUAUUAUUGCCUUGAACCGCCUCUGCGUCUUUGUUAGAUUCUGUUAUAAAGUUCCUCUUCGGGGGGGAAAUCAACAGCAGCUCGACGCUCUGCAGCUACUUUGGCCUGCAAAAAUAAACCAGAUUAAGUUGUGGAAAUAGCCUCUCCAAAGAAACAUUAUUCAUGUUCUCCGUGCUGCAGUUUGGGUUCUCUCACUCACCUUGCUUUGCUGCUGUUCUAAUUCAUUAGGUUUGCCUAGUGCUAAGAGGGCACUUGUUGGAUAUGUUCUUCUGCGUGUUCUCUCACUGUUAUAGUAUUCGUCGGAGGCUAACUGAAUAGAGUUAAUCUGAAGGCUAACUGCAUCUACAUCCACAGAGGAAGCACUCUUUAAUUUUAAGGCAUUAAUGGGUCUUGAUGCACGUCGCAGCCUGCUUGUUAUUUGGUGUGUACCAGAAUCUUCAUCACUGAUUGAUUGAAGACGAUCAGUCUGAGGUUUAGGUAACACAUUGAUAGAGGAAGCAGCCUGUCCUAAGGUCUGGUUACGAAGCAUAACACCUUCCUCUCUUCCGAAGUGGCUCGAACUAGCUUGUGGCACACCAAGCAUUUGUAAACUCGGGCCCUAAAAAAUAAUAAUAAUCAGAAAAUAUGAGCAAGUUUCCAAAGUUGAGCGAAGUUCUAGCAUUUGACCUGUGGAAACCAUAACACAUUGACAAAAUUUGAUUUUAAGAUUCUAUGGGAGAAAGAUUUUUUACCUGUGCAGCUUGAUGUUGUACUUCUGUGUCUGAGUCACUGCUCACUCCACAAUCCGGUAAAUACACCUUCCUAGGUGACUGUGGCAGAGUGGAGUCGUUAAAGACGUUAUUGUGAGUUAUUUCUUCACUGUAACCCUGAUACGGGUCAUCCCCAAAAAGUCCAUUUACGAACUCUUCCAAAUUUUCAUCCAUUCCAUGGUAAUCAUUAUUACCACGCGUAUUUCCAAGCAUAAGAUCCAAUUCCCUCUGAAAAAUGUCCGGAUUUGGUGGUGGCUGAGUACGUUCCUGCAUAGUGAACAACAAGCAAGCAAAGGUUUUGGAUCUGUUUCUUUUGCUCCGAGUAUAUAUAUAUAUAUAUGAAGAAGUUUUAAUCACCAUUCGUGCUCGACAUUCUCACCUCUUCAACAUGCAUAUUACGUGCUGGUUGCAGUUGAUUUUCAAAGUCAGGUGCAUUGUUGUAAUUACUAGAUUCGCCUUCAUCACCGGUUGCAACAUCCGUGUUCUUACCUGAUUUCUUCUUUACGUAACAGAGAACGAAAUCCCUCUGCAAAUAAGUUGGAAAACCAGUUAUGUAAUGAAGUAGCACCAACAGAAAAUUAAACAAGGUUCCAAACCAAAAGCCACUAAACUUUGCAGAGUUACAGAAGAAGCCAAUUUGGCUAGAAGCCGAAUAGACUUGAGUUUCACAACCAAAACCCCUCCAGCCUCCGGUUUACAACUUGCCUCAUACAAUGCUGCAAAUUGCACAUCAUAUAUCGAUAACAAUAUUAACAAGAACCUGAAAAUAGAAAGAGAAUGAUGACCUGAUUAGCAUUAGGAGUGAUUUGAGGGAUGGAAAACUCAUGCAUGACCCAGUUGGUAAUUGGGGCAUUACGACCGCGACCUUGGCGAAAUGUCAGAAUCCUCUUUUUACCGAUAAUUUUGUUGUCUCGAGCCUUGACUAUUUUUUCCUUCCCGGUGCUCUUCCAGAAGCCUGUGGCCGUCGCCCUUUCAACUUCGUUUCUGCUGUUUUUUUUGUAAAUUGGUCGGUUGUAGAAGUACCAUUCAUCAUCCGACUUUAUCAGUGAAAUCUCUGCAUAAAACACAACAUUUGGAUUAAACCAAUUGCAUACACAUUUUUAGACUCAUUCAAAUGCAAACUAAAAUGUAUCAGUAAAAGUGAAGAGUGUUGAGUGCUGAAAUCUCUGACCUUCGUAAAACGGUCACUCGAGAUAAAAAAAUAGUAACUUUAUGAACUGGGAUUGGUAAUAAGUUACGUUUGGAUUAAACCCAAAUACCAAUGGCAAAUACAGAUUAUCAGACUCAUCGGACUAAGAAAAAUAAUGAAAAUUUAAGACCUGGGGCUUUGCAAAUAAUUACCAGGCAAUUCCCUGGGCUCGUAGUUGCAGAUAUUGAUUUCACGGAUGGCGUCGCUGACGAGGGAAUCCUUUCCCCGGAGCUUCAACUUCAAGUAAUGGCUGAUCAGCUCUUCUUCUGUGGGGUGGAAUCGGUAUCCCACUGGCAGUAACAGGCCUUCUACUUCUACUCUAGUGAAGCGGAUUCCAUUGGAAGCCAUCCUCUUUCAUGAAGGAGAAGGGGAAUGCUGGCUGGGUUUUUGUAGGAUUAAGAAAACAAGAGAAACAGUACGGAAAUUGACUUGGUGUUGAUCAAGUCUUCGUGGUUUUCAGCGGACGCUUUUUGCUUAUGGAAGUAACUAUUAAGCUUCGGCUUCUGCUUUUACAUGGUGCGGUGGGGAAUUUUUGUUGUCGUGACUUUUGGUGGGACCCCGGGGAAUCCUACGUGUGGAACUGUUUGCCGUAUGUAUGGCUGGGUGGGUGUGCUUCCUCGGAGAGGACUGAAAAGCUACAGGGAUCAUGAGAAAAUUUUGUAUCCCCUUUUGUCAAUCCAAGAUUAAAUGAGGGUAGGUGUAGGAUAAAGAGUCGAUAAGGUAGAACGAGAAAGUCUAAUUGAGAAAAUCGGUAGCAUUCUCAUGGAGUUAUUUCCAAUUAAAAUAGAUCUCCAUAUAUUGUCACUGUAGACAUCGAAAUUUCGGUAAAUAAAUGUUGACCGAUAAAUCAAAGUGUCAACGCUCAUGUAUUACAUAAAUUUUACACGUAGCGUGUGACUCAAUGAAAAUUGAAAUGAGUUGGAAAAGUCAUCAAAUAGGACACGUGUCAACACCUGGCAGAAACGACUUAUUUCAUCUGGGAUAUUAUAUUCAAAAUUAGGCAUUGGAAAUUUCUAUAAAUAGAAGGCUAAUUCAUUCAUAAGGGGGACCAAUUCAGAUUACACAUUGAAGCUCUGAAGCUCUGAAACUCCGAAGCUCUCAAGCAUCCAGGUUCCCGAAGAAUCAAGAAAGCCUUCUUCGUUCUUCGUUCAUCGCUCUUUCAAGAUCAAGCCCCGACGGCCCUUGAAGAAAGCACCAUCGUUCAUCAUCCGUUCAUCCAAGAUCAAGCCCUAACGGCCAUUUGGAUCAACAAACGUCGACAAAUCCACACAUCCAACCGUUCUUCAAGAUCAAGCCCAAAAGCCCUUGAAGAUCCGUUCAUCACUGUUCUUCAAAGAUCAAACCCAAACACCCUUGAAGAUCCGCUCAUCACCGUUAUUCAAGAUCAAGCCUCAAACGGCCCUUGAAGAAACAUUCAUCCUCAAGAUCAAGCCCCAACGGCUCCUUGAAGAUCCGCUCAAAUCCAACUUCAAAGAUUAAGCCCACGGCCCUUUGAAGAAACUUCCAACUGUUCAUCCAAGAUCAAGCCUCGACGCCCCUUGGAUCAACAAAAUAUCCACAAAUCAACACCUUACGGAGAUCGAAUCAGAGGAUCAAAUUUGAGAGAGAUUGUAACCCAAAAUCAUCAAAUACAAAUAUUUGUUUGUGCGCGUUGUUCUUGUCUCUUUCGUUUCAGGAAUUUUCCGUGUUCACAAAUUGGCACGCCCAGUGGGACAAUCUCUACCUCUCAUCUCUUCCUCCGUUCAAGGAAUAUAAGUACACUUCCAAAAUCAAUGACAUCAAGGAAGGCUCAAGCUGUUCCCAUAACCGGCGCAAAGAACAAAGGCACCCUCGUCGCAAGUGUGUGUCACGUUGGGUAUCACGACUCGAAGCAUGGCAAAAGCUACUUCUGCCGCCUCUUUCACCUCUGCAUCAACUCUGCCAAGGGAACAAAAACACCCAAGGCACGAGCCUUUGAUCACCUUAGCCUCACUAAGGGCACCAAGGGGGGAAAGCCCAAGGAAAUACUCUGAAUCCAUGCUCUCCGAUGCCGAUUCAAGCGACAGUUCAGCCAUGCAAGUCAUGACCAUUGGAGCAACUUCAAUCGAUGAGCAGCUAGCUCAAAUGAAUGAAGCAAUCGCAAGGCUAACCCGAACUGUGGAAGAAAAAGACUUGCAAAUUGCAGCAUUAGUCAACCGACUGGAGGCGCAGGAUGGCGAUAAACCCGACCCAGAGGAUGAUCCACUAAAGGGAGGAGCUGGCGGAGACGAAGAACCCCCAGUGAAGAAAAUCGAUGGGAAGCCGGAGCCAGACCAAGCAGCGGCACUCAUGGGAUCUCUUUCUAUCCAGCAGCUGCAGGAGAUGAUCACCAACACCAUCAAGGCACAGUACGAAGGGAGCUCACAUACCUCCUUGUUCUACUCGAAACCCUAUUCCAAGAAGAUUGAUGCCCUAAGGAUGCCAAGGGGUUAUCAACCACCAAAGUUCAUGCAGUUUGAUGGAAAAGGAAACCCAAAGCAGCACGUUGCACAUUUCGUCGAAACUUGCAACAACGCGGGGACGGAGGGAGACUACCUCGCCAAGCAGUUUGUGCGCUCGCUGAAAGGAAACGUCUUUGAGUGGUACACAGACCUAGAACCUGAGACCAUCAACAGUUGGGAGCAAUUAGAGCGGGAAUUCCUCAACCGCUUCUAUAGCACCCGCCGCACUGUGAGCAUGCUAGAGCUAACAAGCACAAAGCAGUGGAAGGACGAACCAGUCAUUGACUACAUCAACAGAUGGCGCACUCUAAGCCUCGACUGCAAAGACAGGCUCUCGGAAACCUCUUCAAUCGAGAUGUGCAUCCAAGGCAUGCAAUGGGGUUUGCAAUACAUCCUUCAAGGCAUUAAACCACGGACCUUCGAGGAAUUGGCCACCCGCGCCCAUGACAUGGAGUUGAGCAUCGCUCAUCAUGGGAAGAAGGAACCGAUCGCCGACUACAAGAACGACAAAGUUCUUGAGACAAAGGUGGAGAAGGCUGCAUGGAAACCCACCAAGGAAGCAAUGACGGUCAACACAGCUCCCGUCAAGAUCUCCACACGAGGCAAGGCGAUUCAAACCGAAGCUUUUCGUGAUCAAGAGAUGCGUAGACGUACUUUGAAGGAGCUUUAGGAGAAGACUUAUCCAUUCCCCGACUCUGAUGUGGUUGCCAUGUUAGAAGACUUGCUGGAAAAGAAGGUGAUCGGCUUGCCUGAGUACAGACGGCCAGAAGAGAUGAAUCGCACCGACAGUCCAAGGUACUGUAAAUUCCACCGCUUCAUCAGUCAUCCGACAGAAAAGUGCUUCGUGCUGAAAGAUCUCAUCAUGAAGCUGGCUCAAAAAGGAAUCAUCGAGCUAGAUCUUGACGAUGUGGUGGAGUCAAACUAUACCACCUCCACUUUUGGCUCUUCCGACUCAAAGUUUUCACCUCAACCGCUGGGGGCAUCCUCCAAGACAAGCAAAGUUGAAGGAUGGACUCAAGUCACUCCUAAGAAAUUGCACAAGAAGCAUACGUCUCCUCCACAUGUCCGCCAAUUGGAAAGGGGGCAAAGCAGCUCUUGUCAACCUUCAAAGCAACAUGAACGUGUUGAAGAUGAUGAAAUUUUGACACAUAGAUCGUCCAUCCCCAUCACGAUGCGCAAUUUCUUUCCUGAAGACUUCUUCAAUCACUCGGUCAAGGCUCCUUGUUAUGAAGAUUGCGAGGAACGACUCUCUCAGAUCGCUUGACGAACUAAUGCUCCUUGUUCGCACGAGCCUAAACUGCAUGAACCAAAGCUCCUUGUUCGCACGAGCCUAAACUGCACGAACCAACGCUCCUAGUCUGCACGAGCAUAAAAGGCAACACCAACGCUCCUUGUCUGCAUGAGCAUAAAAGGCAACACCAACGCUCCUUGUCCGCACGAGCUUAAAAGGCGACAACAAUUGCUCCUUGCCUGCAUGAGUUGAAACUGCAAAUGGCACCAAAAAGAAAAUACAAAAAAAUAUCUAUGUAUUUGAACUACGUUUACGACCUAAUCUCUUCUUUGGAGGGGUACAUAGGAGGCUUGAAUAUUCAAAAUUUGAGUUCAGUCACACCAAAAUAAGGAAUAAAGAUUUUAUUAAAAGUUUGAUGCUAUUACAAUUUUCUUUGUACAAAAAAAAAAAAAUAAGAGAGAAAAAGAGAUACAUGUUUUAUGUAUUUACAAAAAAAAAAAAAAUAUGUUUUUGUAUUAAAAAAAAAAUAUAUAUAUAUAUAUAUAUAAAGGGCCUCAAAAGAAGCCCCUGUCCAAAACCAGAUCAAAUUAGGCCCAGCUCCCGUAGCCUACUAUCUGCCAAAAUUCUUCAAAGCUCCCAAGCCACUCCCACCUCCUCACGGGCCCAACUCAGCACUCGGCUCUUCAAACCCAGAAGACAUCAAGAAGGGCAGUCUUGUGGUGGUUCUGGUGCACCCAUACUCCGUCCUUGGCGGCUGCGAAGGCCUGUUGAGAGGAAUAGCAGCUGGGGUGGCAGACAGAGGUGCCCCAAUUGCAGGCUCCGCAGUAGAUCAGAUAGAACAAGUCGUGGAGCAUAGUGGCUCGUGAAGCACCAAAAAACAUACAACGACAUCGGGGAGGAGGAGAGGAGGUUCGAGAUCUUAAGGACAACUUGAAGUUCAUCGACGAGUAUAACGCACUGGACCAUCCGUACAAGGUCGGUCUGAAUGCUUUCGCUGACCUGAUCAACCAGGAGUACCGUGCCAAGUUUUUGGGCACCAGGAGUGACCCUAAGCGCAGGGUCAUGAAAACCAAGAACCCGAGCCUGAGGUACGCUUUUCGCGCCGGCGAGACGUUGCCGGAAUCUGUGGAUUAGAGACUCAAGGGUGCCGUCAAUCCCAUAAAAAAUCAAGGAGGUUGCGGGAGUUGCUGGGCUUUUUCAACAGUGGCAGCAGUGGAGGGCAUAAACCAAAUAGUGACUGAAGAAUUGGUGUCUCUCUCUCAGAGCAAGAGCUCGUCGACUGUGACACGUCCUACAACGCCGGAUGCAAUGGCGGUCUCAUGGACUACGCCUUCGAGUUCAUUAUCCUAAACGGCGGCAUUGACACUGAAUCCGACUACCCUUAUCAAAGCCCAAAGGAAUCAUCACCUCCGGAGCCCAAAUCUAUGAAAAGGAGCAGCCCAAAAAACCCUUCUUUCCCAAAGCUCUCCAUCAGAGCCUCCUCCUCCGACUCCAACCCGGCGAACCCAACUCCUUUGGCCACUUCACUGCCUCCAUCAGACAUCAAAUUGUGGUCGUCUACUGCCGUUUCUUCCAGAGGGUUCGACAUGCCGGUGAGUCUUUGUCUGUUUACACAAUGAAGGAACUACAGAAAUCCAACUGGAAGAGCAUCUGGAUCCAGAUUCGAAACCGCCAAAGCACGGAAUCAAAAGCAAUGGAGAUUUCCCGCAGGAGAACGGGGGGCACUGCAAUUAAUCUUCACUCAUUCCUUCCACCGUCGCUCGACUCGGACGCCAUUGCAGACACCAUAAAGUCCUUUUUUUCCCAACAAUUGCGGAGAAGACGAUCACUUUCCCUGGUUCGGGGUGGAGUGCUCGGAUGGAAAAGUGGUCAUCCUGAAUUUAAGAGAUAUUUUCGUCUUAGUAGAACGUUGGCCCAUGAUUUAGGAUUUCUUGGUUCCAUAUCUCCUGAACUCCACCAAUUGAAGAUGCUUUUGGAAUGCCAGGUAGAUCAGGAUCAACGACUGACAGUUGCCGCUUUCUGAACGAGCAGAUCUAUCAGCUGGAAGCUCAGGAGGCUCAGUCUCUGAUGCCAAACCAAGUGCCUCUUCCUCUGGAGCGUCAACUGCCAAGGUAUCGACUGACAAGUACCAAAAUUCUGCUGUUGUAGCUGGUGUUAUAACUACUACUGCUUCUCUCGGUUGGUCUCCCAAAGCUAGUCGAAAGAAGGAAGAAGUGCAAGACUGAGGUUGUGACUUGGGUUGGUGCUGCAGGAUCCAUGCUUUCCAUCUUCUCCAUCCUCAUCCUCCUUCAAUCCAGAUACAUAAUGUUGCAAGGCCCCUUCCCAUUUUUGUUGCCAAUAAUGUCACUAGUUUUACGCUUGUGCUUGAGUUCAACAAGAGCAAGCUGCAGAACUUGUACUAAAAAAGGGAUGGGUGCUCCAAAUGUUCAGGAAGCUCCACCGCAAAAAAAAAAAAAAAAAAAAAAAAAAAAAAAAAAAAAAAUAUCUCUGCACAUCCGUGGUGGUCCCUGCCAAGCUCAGCCUGCUCUCCGCCAUCACCUUCUCCGACUGCAUUGCGCAAACCUCCAGCGAGUCGAACAUGGUCCAGUAGUAGUGCAGCGCCUUCGUAAACCGGUCCAAAAAGUUGGGUUUUGUUAUGGUCUGCUUCCUGCUCCACUAACCACCCCUCGUACGUCAACAUCACUUCAUCGUCGGUCCUCCAGCUGCCUGACGACUUGCUGUGCUCGGUGGCUGGCCUCAAUGACAGUGCAAGGAUGACAGGCAGUGCAAUGGUGUGCAGCAGGCAGUGCAAUGGUGCAGCGACGGCGGUGCAGCAAGGACAGCAGAACGUGAGCAACCCGGUUCGAUACAUCUUCUUCUUCCUCUCUACCGUCGGUUUGGUUGAAAGUUAUGGCCCUUCUACUAUGCGAUGAAGUGGGAGAAGGCAGCAAUUCUUUUAUAAAGCCACAAGAGGCAAAGUGGAAUACCCGUGCUUUCCACUUUGCUUCUCCGUCGAAGAAUCAUUCUUCUGGGUUCUCAAGAAUAAAAAAUAAAAAAAAUAAAAAAUAAAAAGAAAGAAAAAGAUAAAUAUAUAAAAAGAGUGAUGGUGCAUCUGGCACCAUGUGAAAGAAAAGAAAGAAAAAAAUAUAUAAAAAGAGUGAUGGUGCAUCUGGCACCAUGAGAAAGAAAGAAGAGAAAUAAAAAAAAAUAUAUAUAAAGAGGAAUGGUGCAUCUGGCACCACGUGAAAAAAAAAGAGGGAAUGGUGGAUCACACCAUGUGAAAAAAUAGAGGGAAUGGUGCAUCUGGCACCAAACAAAAAAAAAAAAAAAAAAAAAGAGAGGGAAUGGUGGAUCAGUCCACGUGAAAAUAUAUAUAUAAUAUAUGUAUAUAUACAUAAAAAAUAUAUAAAAAAUAUAAAAAAAAACAAAAACAAAACAAAUGCAUUGAGAGAAAUAAAAUCUAUUUUUAUUUAUUUCUCUGGAAAAAUUACAUAAAAUUGCAUUCUACAAAAAAAAAAAAAAAAAAAUACAAAUGUGCAAGCAGCAAACAUAAGGGGCCUUCAUUGAUCAGAUGGCGCCUUAUCACUCGGUGGAACUCCGGGAAGAAGAGGAGCCGGAGGUUGAUCAUUUGGAACUUCACUACGCGGUACAGCCCCAGAAGACGAAGGCAAAUGUUGUUGGAACAAACCCACAAACCUCUGAUGAUCAAGUAAAAUCUGACCAUCAGAUUCCUGCAUCUGGUCAAUCUUCCUCUUCAUGUUUGUCGCAUAGCUAUGUGCGAGCUUAUGCAACUGUUUAUUCUCCUGCUUGAGCCCUCUAAUCUCCUGUUUGAGACUCAUCACUUCAGCCGCCAAUGAUUCAACUUGACGGGUUCGAGCAAAUAGGCGUUGGGCCAUAUUAGACACAGAACCUGCACACUGCACACUGAGAGCCAGAGAAUCCUUAACAGCCAACUCAUCAGACCGUUUGGAAAGUAGUCUGUUAUCUCUGGGAGUGACAAGGUUCCGGGCCACCACCGCAGCGGUCAUAUCAUUCUUCACCACUGAAUCCCCAACGGUAAGAGGACCAGUGGGAGAUAUGAAGGAUGGGCGCCAUAUGUUAUCUGGAGAAGAAGGGACUGCCUCUUCACCAAGAUUCAAGUCAAAACGACGAUCGGAGGGGCCAGACAUUUUCAAAGGUGUUAAAGAAAGAAGAGAUCGGACAAAUCAAGCUCUUAGAAGUACAAGAGGGGAGUUUUCACAAGCGAAAAUUCAAGUGUGCUUUGAAACGAACUGCAUGCCUCUAUAAAAAAUCAGCACUCGACGGGAUUUCAGAGAUCGAAGAGGCGAGCUCAGAAUUCGAAGAGGCCAUUCAAAAAUCGAAGAGGCAAGCUCAGAAAUCGGAGAAGCAUCUUGCUUUUCCAGACGCGUCGGCACCCGUCACACGCAAACUCAGCUUUGCGAAAAUCACGGGCAAUUUGUCGAAGCGCCGAUCCCAGAUAUCGAAGAGGCGCCAGUCUUUUUCAGCCACGUCAACACCCAUCACACGCAAACUCAGCUUUGCGGAAAUCACGGAUAAUUUGUCGAAGCGCCGAUCCCAGUUAUCGAAGAGGCGCCAGUCUUUUUCAGCCGCGUCAACACCUGUCACAUGCACACUCAGCUUGGCGGAAAUUACGGACAAUUUGUCGAAGAUUUCUGAUAAAGAAGGAAGCACGUGAAGCCAUAUAGAUCAAUCACGCAUUGGUUGCCGACACGAGUGAAAGAAUAGUACCUCUACAGGUAUCAAAGAACUUCCUAUAAUUGUCUACCUUCGCCUUCCAUAACAAGGGAGACAUACAGAGUCUUUCUUCAUCUCCAAAGAUGCUUUCUCAACGAAGCCUCUCGAGUCAUUCAGUGUUCCUUAUUCCUUGGGGUACCUCUGCAAGCCAAUGACUCCAAAGCAAAAUUAUCUCAUAUCACCAGGGUAGAAAGCAAGAGUAUCUCAUAUCAUGUGUUCUCCCUGUCAUUUCCUUUGUCCUUGUUCUUACCUACAAAGACAAGGAUAAAGAAAACAAUAUGCCGGAACUUCCACUCAAACUCGGGUAAGGAACCGACUGCUUGGAACCCUUCCCUGAUUGCCUACCUAGCACUGCUCUCGAGUACUCGUUUCCCACUGCUGUUGUACUUCCAAAGAAGCUACCACAUCUGCCUGAAGAACAGAUAAGGCAAGUGAAAAUGAUACCUUGCAGCAUGUGGAGACAAGGUGCAGAAGGAACAAGCAGAGAAGAAUGCGGUCUGCACAGUCAACUCAGCAGAAGGAGUCCAAACUGAGGAACUCGAGAAGCUGCCACAUCUGCCUGAAGAAACAAGCAGAGAAGAAUGCAGCAUGCACAGUCAACUCAGCAGAAAGAGUCUGAGAUGAAGAACUCGAGAAGAUGCCGCAUCUGCCUGAGACGGUGAACUUGUUUUGACCCUCAAAUUCUUGGGUCGACUUACUAGGCGUUGUGGGCUGCAUGUGCCGAUUCACCACCCUUGAAUCAAAUCCUUAAAGACCAAGUCACCAAUUGGAAGAGGAGCCCAUCAAUCUCGAAGAUCAUACCGUUGACCAAACUACUCAGGUGUGAAUUAGAAAGAUUGAACAAAGCAACAAGUCGUCACCUUCACCUCGUGCCUGCUUGCCGUGUGUUCGAGUCAGCCUUCAAGAAUCAAGCCUCAACGGCCCUUGAAGAAGCUUCCAGCCAAAUUCAAAAUCAAGCCUCGACGGCCCUGGAAGAAAUCACAAGUCCGAUUCAAGAUUAAGUGUCUACCACCCUUGAAUCAAAACCUAGUUCAAGAAUAAGCUGUGGAAAAUCAACAAUUGGAGGAAUCUAGAAAAUCCUUCAACCCAGUUCAAGAUCAAAGUCGUGGAAAGUCAACAAAGCGCAACAAAAUAUGUGCCGAUUCACCCACUACCAAAGCCAAAGAUCAUCUACCACAUGAAGUUCCUUGUGGUUCAAUUUCAACCUUCAAAAUCAAGCCUCGACGGCCCUUGAAGAAAUUUCAAACAACAAUUCAAGAUCAAGCCUCAACGGCCCUUGAAUCGACAUCUACAGUAAGGGACUUCAAAACGCAUCUCCUACAUGUGACAAGCACAUGUAUACGACGCGCCUUGAAGUGGGGGCAUUUGUAGACAUCGAAAUUUCGGUAAAUAAAUGUUGACCGAUAAAUCAAAGUGUCAACGCUCAUGUAUUACAUAAAUUUUACACGUAGCAUGUGACUCAAUGAAAAUUGAAAUGAGUUGGAAAAGUCAUCAAAUAGGACACGUGUCAACACCUGGCAGAAACGACUUAUUUCAUCUGGGAUAUUAUAUUCAAAAUUAGGCAUUGGAAAUUUAUAAAUAGAAGGCUAAUUCAUUCAUAAGGGGGACCAAUUCAGAUUACACAUUGAAGCUCUGAAGCUCUGAAACUCUGAAGCUCUCAAGCAUCCAGGUUCCCGAAGAAUCAAGAAAGCCUUCUUCGUUCUUCGUUCAUUGCUCUUUCAAGAUCAAGCCCCGACGGCCCUUGAAGAAAGCACCAUCGUUCAUCAUCCGUUCAUCCAAGAUCAAGCCCCAACGGCCCUUUGGAUCAACAAACGUCGACAAAUCCACACAUCCAACCGUUCUUCAAGAUCAAGCCCAAAAGCCCUUGAAGAUCCGUUCAUCACUGUUCUUCAAAGAUCAAACCCAAACACCCUUGAAGAUCCGCUCAUCACCGUUAUUCAAGAUCAAGCCUCAAACGGCCCUUGAAGAAACAUUCAUCCUCAAGAUCAAGCCCCAACGGCUCCUUGAAGAUCCGCUCAAAUCCAACUUCAAAGAUUAAGCCCACGGCCCUUUGAAGAAACUUCCAACUGUUCAUCCAAGAUCAAGCCUCGACGCCCCUUGGAUCAACAAAAUAUCCACAAAUCAACACCUUACGGAGAUCGAAUCAGAGGAUCAAAUUUGAGAGAGAUUGUAACCCAAAAUCAUCAAAUACAAAUAUUUGUUUGUGCGCGUUGUUCUUGUCUCUUUCGUUUCAGGAAUUUUCCGUGUUCACAGUCACUUCUCAUAUUUAUUUAUGAAAAUUUUGUGUUUGCUUAAGAAAUACUAGAUACAUAACUUUAGAGAGUAUUUCUUAAGGUAUAAGUUGUUGGAAAUUCUUUGGUUGUAACAUGAGAUUCGUCUCAAUAUAUUUAUCUCACUAAUUACUUAAUUCACUUAAGCAUGGUUACUCUUACUUGCAAUAAUCUUUCUAAUAGUUUAGCUUGAUUUAGUUUAUAGAUUCCAAAACAAAUUGCGAGUCUCAAGAAGUUGUUUUAGGACGGUAGUAAACGAGAGAUUUGUUAAUGUGUGUUUAAAAUACAAAAUGAAUAUAACAUAUCAUUAUACUAUUAGAGAAACACUUGAAAUAGAUUUUGUCUCAUCAAAAGACAUAAGAUGAAUCACUCGUUAAUAAAAAUAACAACGAUUGACGAGGCUACCCUUUGAUUUGAUUGUGUGAGUCCACCGUUUCCUCUCAUCCCAUGUCCCUUGUAAUAAAGGUUUUCUUGUUGAUCAAGUACUUGUUUGAACUUGGAGCAAAUGUUUCCACUUCUUGGGUAGAGAUUAUGACUACCUCAGUUUCUUGUUGAUCAAGUACUUCUUUGAGCAAUGUUCCAUCGACUGGCAGAACCAAUCUAUAAAAGCAUAGAACUUGUAGCUAAUGGGGCCGUAGCUCAUGAUUACUUUGUGACUUCAUCUCUCAUUCCAAUGCUACAACUUACAACCAGGUAAAUAUUGUUUGAUAAACCCCAUGAUCAAAAUUUUGUUCCAAUAGAAUCGCUAAAUGAGCAGACAAUUGUUUACGCAUGAUUCUUUUAGACGCAUUAAAAUAAGAGGUGUGCUAUCCACACCUCAUUUUAUUUCUCAUACCCCUCUUGAUAAUUUCUGUCCUUUGAUCUUCUUUAAUUUAUCCAAUCCGACGGCUGAAAAUUAAAAAUAUGUGUGAGAAGUAAAAUGGGGUGUGUGGAUAUCACACCCCUAAAAUAAUAUAUAAGUUGUUUUAGGCUUAACAUUUGAGACUUGAAAAGCCCACCAAAGGAUGAGAAAAUCAAGACAUAGGGCCUCCAAGCCAGCAAAAGGAAUUUAGAUAAUAGAGUGCCACCACGAGAAAGAAAGACAACUGCCUUCAACAACUGCAUGUAGCCCCGUCUACCAACAAGAAGAGAGGUGCAUAGAACUUAAAGCACUUUCUGACCGCUCAAGCCAGUUGGCAGGCUUGACAAUUUUCUAGCAUGGAGCUUCAUGACAGGUACGUCCAGACGUCAACUUCGAACCAUGUGUUGGCCAUCGACGAGAAAAGAAAUAUAUGAAGAAAUAUAAAUGUUGUCAAGCUUAGCGCUCAGUCCUUAAUUCUCGUCUAGUUUGUUCACAAAAAACAAAAGGACGAGAUAAAAACGGAUGUGUAGAAAUCAUCCCUAAUUACUAAUUUAGCAUGCUUAUCUUCUCAAUUUUAGAUUCUUUUUUAUGUGUACCAACCAUGUAUCUUCUCAAAUUUAGAUUCUGUUUUUAUCUUCUCAAUUUGGAAUGAUUGUGAGCCCACUUGACAGGGCUUGCAAUUGCAAAGCAACAAGAAGUGAGACGAAUCCAUACAAAUCAAUAACUGAUCAUAUAUCAUCAAGUAGGAUCUUGAAAAUCCAGUCGUUUUAGGUAAAAAGCAUUCCACAUUACAGCAACUGGAGACCCACACACAUGAUCCUCCCCCCUCCUUCCUCAAAAGAUAAAAAAUAAUUUGGCCAAGGCUAGUGAGAAACAGUUAAAAGAAUGAAGAAUAUCAACCAGAAAAUACUUUCCAACCCUAUAUUUGCUCUGUUCUUUCUUUUUCUCAAACACAAGUAGUACCACAGAAGGGACCUUUCCUCUGUUGGCUAUACACAUUUCCUACAGAUUCUACAAAUCCUUUCCGUGUGCGUCGUUAAGUGAGGUUUAUGACUUACAACACCACAUCCUUUCUGGUGAAAGUACAACCGAGAGUCGAGCGUGAUCGGAGAGAGUAUAAUCUUCGGGCCAUAUUCCCUUCUCCA
RNAcentral lists this long non-coding RNA (17289 nucleotides) under Malus domestica (apple). RNAcentral describes it as "long non-coding RNA (MDOM_LNC006981)". The stretch from base 1938 to 2021 matches the Rfam family "tRNA". The record is from RNAcentral. Lineage: Eukaryota; Viridiplantae; Streptophyta; Magnoliopsida; Rosales; Rosaceae.